UUAGGGAGCAGUGGGGAAUAUUGGACAAUGGGCGCAAGCCUGAUCCAGCCAUGCCGCGUGUGUGAUGAAGGCCUUAGGGUUGUAAAGCACUUUCACCGAUGAAGAUAAUGACGGUACCCGCAAAAUAAGCCCCGGCUAACUUCGUGCCAGCAGCCGCGGUAAUACGAAGGGGGCUAGCGUUGUUCGGAAUCACUGGGCGUAAAGCGCACGUAGGAGGAUGUGCCAGUCAGGGGUGAAAUCCCGGAGCUCAACUCCGGAACUGCCUCUGAUACAGUACGUCUUGAAUCUGAUAUAGGUGGGUGGAAUUCCUAGUGUAGAGGAGAAAUUCGUAUAUAUUAGGAAGAACAUCGGUGGCGA
RNAcentral lists this ribosomal RNA (357 nucleotides) under uncultured bacterium. Its description in RNAcentral is "bacterial SSU rRNA". It matches the Rfam family "Bacterial small subunit ribosomal RNA", at positions 344 to 718 of the family's 1533-position model. The record is from RNAcentral.